This 6012-nucleotide long non-coding RNA is filed under the name Sus scrofa (pig). RNAcentral's name for it is "lncRNA (ENSSSCG00065037585.1)". Lineage: Eukaryota; Metazoa; Chordata; Mammalia; Artiodactyla; Suidae. The record is from RNAcentral.
GAAAAAUGCAAUCAUAACCCUUCACAUAGAUGGUUCCCUUUAUUUAGAAUGUCUUGCUUCCCCACCCAAAUCUCCUUUUGCCUGACUAACUCCCAUUCAUCUUUCUGAGCUGAGGUUUUAAGUGACCUUUUCCUGUAAACCUUCCCCAAGCACUCCUUCUUGGUAGAUAAUUCUUUGCACUUGAGCUCCAUGUACAUCUAUAUUAUUGAAUUUAACACACUGUGACGAUUUUUGCUUUAGGUAUGCCUUCUUUAGAAGACAACGAACCCAUCAAGAGCAAGACCAUGUCUUAAUUUUUCUUCUAUCCACUAUAUGUAACACAAUGCCAGGAGCAUGGCUCGGCACUAUAAAUAUUUGUUGAAUAAUUGAAUGAACACAAUCUCCAAACAAACAUUAUAACAUUUAAAUAUAAUAAUGAGAAAGUGAUAGUAAAUUCUAAGGUUAUGAAGGUGUUUACUGCUGAGACUUCCUUUUAAAAUAAGUGCAUUCUGGUGUUGUCAUAAUUGAAAUAAGCCCACAUUUAUAUUUUACUCGAUUAUUUUGAUGUUCGUUGAGAUGACUCUUGAUUCCACUGAAUAUCCUGAAUGUACAAUACCUCCUGCUUUUUCCUGGUAAUCACUGAAAAUCUAUAGCAAUUUAAACUUCGAAUAAAAUUUCUCGAUGGUACUUUUUUUUUCACUAAACAAUAUCAGUGAGCAAAAACAAUUAAAAAUUAUUUGAUGUAAUAUAUUAAGUACUGUAUUUUCAUUUCUUAUCUAUUCGAAUUCAAUGCUAAUUAGAACCUGUACAAUAAAUUUGAUAGUGUUCUUUCAUUUGGUAAUGAAGCGAGUGGUCUUACCAGAAAAGAGAAAAAAAUAUAUAGUGCAUUUUUUACUUUUCUUCAAGAUGUAGCAACAAUCAUGUAAACACAUACACAGCAAACAUGACUAUGGCAAUAUUCGAUUUUAGCAUCACUUUCAAAGAUGAAAUAGGUUUCCCUAAAAAUACUCCUCUUCUAACAUCCUUAAAAAGAAAUUGAUAUGAAAUUUUAAAUACUCACUGGAAUCCUUAAGAACUUUACAGAAGCCCUCAGAACUGAAGCUACUGCAAUCUAGGGAUAUAUUUGCCUGUAUUUUAAAACACAUACUCUAGUAAAAGAUUAUACUCUUCAGAAUUUUGAAAUAUUACCGAAUGAACUUGUUUUCCCUUCUAAAUUAUAUACUUGAUAUCUGGUGGCUUCCCAACUUUAUCAUUGAGUCUACCAGAGUAAUAAUAGCUUUCUCACCAUGCUGUUAAAAUAUAAAAAUACCUUGAUAGCUUCAAAAAUCAAUGAUUCCACUGUAUAGGAAAUAAUGCAUCCUUAUUGUACCUCAUAAUUGAUAACUAAAAUCUUAAGAUUUGCUGGACAUGGUAAUUAUGUUAGAGGAAAAAUUAUAAAUGGGUACUUUUAGCAAUAUCCCAAUUUAUAAUCCUUCUUACAUUGGCAAAUUUUUUGCACUUUGCGAUUUUUAUUGAUUUCAGAAUAAGGGUCAUUUUUGCAACUAUAUUUAUCUGCCUGUCCUUGUACAGAGGAAAAUUCAGAAUGCUAUAUCACAACAAUUAUCCAAUUAUAGCAAAUUUCACAUAAAGUUAAAUAAUUGUAUGCAUUUUUCUAUUGUGCAAAUCACUGUUAUUUUUAAUUUAAGAUGUAAAUACCAUUUUCUUUUUUCCAUAUACUAGAAUUUCUGGUAAAGUUAUAGGGCCAUGUUUAUGGUGUUUUCUGUAAAAGCAGCCGUUAAUUGUUGCUUCACUGCUGAGAGACAUUCAUUUAUUCAGUAACUGUUUCUUAAAGUGGAAACUAUCACAACAAAUCAGUGUUGCUAAAAGCUUCUUUUAAAAGUACACACACACACACAACACCUCUAACUUAGUAAAAGAAAGUAAACCAUGUCUGUAGUUUCACCAUAUUUAUUACUCUCCCCUGAAGUUUGCCUUAAUUUCACCAAAAUUUGAAGGCACUAGGUAUGUUCAGAAAAUGUGAGGAAAAAAAAUUCCCCUACUUUUCAGACAUGAAUUAUAGUUCUUCAGGCACCCAAGAUUCACCAAAGAUUGGCAGAAUUGUUCUGCCUCCUUCUGUCUUUUACUUCUCCAUCAGUCUGAAGUUAAUAAUAGAUGUGUUAUACCACCAGAAAUGUCCUCUUCCUCUUUUCUUUCAUCGCUAUUGCUUUCUACUACUUCUCUUCACCUUUAAGAAUUAGUGUAGAAGGAUGGAGCUGGAUAAUGAGGGAAAAGAUCUUCCUUCCUGAGAAUAAUAGAGACUCUUACCUGUUGAUCAUUUAGGACAUCGAAUCUCAAACUGCAGUCCCCAAGCAUCAGCAUCUAGAUCACCAGGGACUUGUUAGAAAUAUAAAUUUCUAACUCUGAGAGUGGGGCUCAGCAAAUGUCUUUUAACAAGCCUCCAGGCGCUGGUGCAACAUGCUAGCGUUCUAGGACCACUGAUUUAGGGACUAAUUACCAUGACAAUCACUCUGGAGAGAGUGCACAGAAAAUUCGGUGCUAUCCUCGAAGACCUUCCCCAGAUUAUUUGCUUAAAUACAGGAAAAACUGAUGUCAUGAGGCACCGUGCCUUUGGAUAUAUUGUAAAUGAAGAAAAUGUACCCUAAACAACUAUGACUACCGGUCAUUUAUCUCACAAGUUACAAUAUGAAAUUUAAGAAUUUGAAAGACUAAAGGAUUAUGUUGGAUUGAAUGGUCCCCCCCACUCCCGGCAAUUCAUGUCUACCUGGUGCCUCAAUAUGAGACCUUACUUGGAAACAGGGUCUUGGCUGAUGUAGUAGUUAAAAUGACGUUAAGGAUUAAGGCGAGCCUGGCAUUCUAGAGAGCAGGUCAUGUAGAGAGGUACCCAGGGAAGAAGGAGGCAGAGAUUGUAGUAACGCUGCCACAAGCCAAGGAACAUCAAGGCUUGCAGACAACUUUGCUAGGAAAGAGGCAUGGACAAUUUCUCCCCCAGAGCCUCCCCACUGGAGCCAUCCUGGCUGAUGCCUUCAUUUUGAAAAUCAGGCCUCUUAAACUAUGAUAGAAUAAAUGUCUGCUGUUUUAAGCCAACCAGUUUUUGCUAAAACUGUUAUGGCAGCUCUGGAAAACUAAUACAGGGAACUCAUAAGGUUUAAAUCUUCAGAAUAUUCUUUGACUUACUCUUGGACCAUAAAGACUUUCUCAUGAAAAUAGAUUCUAUAAGAAGGCUGCCCUGCCAUCCCCCUGACCCCACCCUCAGUCAGCUCCAUUGGUUCUACCCCCCUCCUCUGCGCAUCCCACCAUCCUUUUAAAGGACCUUUGAAAAGUCUAGCUUUAGCUGUGAAAGUCAUAUUUACUGUUGGAGGAAAAAAAACCUCUCCGAGAAAAAAUAUUACAUGCAAAAACUCUUUUCAUGUGGAGAAAUAAUGCACUUGUAUAUUUUUAGUUAGAAAUUAUGCCUAUUAUCUUCCAUCCGUCUUUCAGUAACAUUUGAGGUUCAUGUGGAUUAUGUUUUUAAGCUGCUUUAUACUCAUUUGUUCAAAUACGUACCAAGCCUUUUAAUUGGAUCAUUUUAUAUGCAAAUAACUCUAAUACUAUUAAGUGUAUCUGUGUCUCCUUCUGUUGCUGUUUUAGUUGUGUCUUAAAUGCUCUGACCCUCCACAGACAGGGUUAAUUAGUGUGUGAGUGUGUGUGCGGGUGGAGGCUGGCAGCUGUAGAUCUAAGAUAAAAAAUAGAGAUUUACCAAGCAAAGCUCUUUGUGUCUUAAAAACAAAACACAUGUAAUGAUGAAUAUUUAAGGAGCUGCCUUAAGGAUAUGGAUUUGCAUUCGCUGUACAUUAUACAAAUUGCUCUGUGCUCUCCUUUGCAACAUUUUGUUUUCUCAAAUGAUUUAGUAAAACCUCUACAUUUCAAUGUACAAAUAUGUUACAAAGUCAUACAAAUUGAAAUACUUAUUAACAAUAAAGCUUUGGUAGAAUAGCUUAAAAGAUCUAUUUUUUUAAUGUAUGAAAUUUAUUUUUUAGUGAUUUUUUUUGUUGUAACAUUCCUUAAACUUACUAUGUAAAAACACAGAAUGUUUAGGAACAUGAUUUUUCUGUGCUUUCGUCCAUUUUUCAUUCCUACAGCUCUCUCUCUCUCUUUUUUUUUUUUUUUUUUUUUUGGCUCUGCCUGUGGCAUAAUUAAGCCCAUGUCACAGCAAUAACCAGAGCCACAGAAGGGACAACCCUGGAUCCUUAACCUGCUGAGCCACCAGGGAACUUCAAUACAGCUCUCAUUUCUAAAGCUGCUAGUAUUUGUUUCCCCUAAAAAUUUUAACUUUCUUGGUCAGUUUGUCAACAUUGUCUUCCAGUAUUUCUCAAUUAUAUUUGAUCCAGCAUAAAGACCUCAAAGAUAUUUUUGAGACAAUUCCCUCAACACAAGCUCUGUAUACCACAUUCUAAUCCAAAAAGGGUAGUGCAAUUCAAAUUCCAUGCUAAGGAAGCUAGAGUUGGCUUUUAAAAAUCAGUGCAGGUGAUAAAUAUUUCUGAGUAAGGGGUGAGCAUAAGAAGUGUUAGACUGAAUCUGAAGGUAUUAAGCAAGACUGCUUGAACUUCUUGAUUUGUCUGUAUUCUGUGUAGAUUUAUGCUAUUUCUAUACCAGUCAUUAAAACAAACAACAACAUUUUGUUUCAUUCUUUUGGUAUAUUUUGUGCUAAGUAUUAGGGAUAGAGAAGAAAUUCAAAGUCCUGCUUUCAACGAAGCGUAGUAUAACAAGAAAGAGGGACAAUAAACAGACAACUCAGUCAGCUUAAAUAUAGACUUGGGGCACUUGGACUUGAGGAAAUUAAGAACAUGUACUCUAUUGGCAUCCUAGGGUGGUUGUAACAAAAUAGCACAAACCUAGUUAGUGGCUUAAAACAACAGAAAUGUAUUCUGUCAUAGUUCUAAAGGCUAGAAGUCCAAAAUCAAAGCCCAGCAGGCUAUGCCUCCUCGAAAGGCUCUAGGGAUCCUUCUUGCCUCUUCUCUUCCUAAGGCCACAUAAGUCCAAUCUGCUUCCAUCUUCCUAUGACCUUCUCUGUGAGUCUCUCUGUCUUUUUCUUUCUUGUCUUUUGAUUUGUAAUGUAUCAUUGGAUUUAGGGCCCACCCUAAUCCAAGAUGACCUUAUAUCAAGAUCUUUAACUUAAUUACACUUUUAAAGACCAUUUUUCCAAACAACAUUACAUUCAUGGGUUCCUGGUGGACCUGUCGUUCAGAGACCACUGUUCAACCCACUACAGCUCCCCAGAGGAGGGGACACCUUUAUUGUGGAGCAGGUUUGAGGGGAGAGAGGAGGCAGUGUGAAUUCCUUUUAGGAAUGGACAAUGCGACAUGCCCAAGUAUUUUCCAUUUUUAGCGCAAUGCCUGGCACACAAAAAGCACUCUGUGACUGUGGGAUCCUAAUCAUAAUAAUUAUAAUAAUCCCACAUGAGAUGUACUCAUGAAAACCUUCAGCAGGCAGGUGGACAUAGACGUCUAGAGAUCAGAAGAGAGAUCUGAAUCAGGAAAAAGAAUGGAUUUGAUGGCCCAAGGAAGCUGUGCAAGAAAAGGAAAGAGCAAAGCAAGGACAAUCUUUGAGGGAAAUCAAGAGGGAAAGCUGGAGAGAGGAGUGACAAGGAGGCAAGAGAGGAAAAGAAUCUUUAAGAAGAAAAAAAAAAAAAGGUGUCAUGUUAGAUGAAGGUGAUUAUGUAUUAUAAAGCCUAGAUUUGGAGACUUUGAUUCUACAAGCAAUUUCAGAAGUUAAGAAGCCAGCUUUCAGUGGUUAACAAUGGUAGAUUUUUAAUGGAUUAAAAUUUUUUCUAGAGUUCCCCUUGUGGCGCAGUGGAAACGAAUCCAACUGGUAUCCAUGGGAAUAUGGAUUUGAUCCCUGGCCUCACUCAGUAGGUUAAGGAUGUGGAAUUGCCAUGAGCUGUGGUGUAGGUCGUGGACUCAGUUUGGAUCCCUCACUGCUGUGGCUGUGAUGAAGGCCAGGCAGCUGUAGCUCUGAUUUGACCCCUAGCCUGGAAACCAUAUGCCAUGGGCGCAG